CUCACCGACAGGGGAGUGCUGUGAGACCUCCUCGGCAAGGGCUGAGCCACAGUYCGCGCCUUGGCUUUCCACGACAGGCUUUCCCAGAGCACCCCAAACUGUGCUAUGAGAAAUGGAGACACAACAAGUGAAGACUGAUCCAAGACCUUCUUCAGGAUUUCAAGACUCAGGCACACGGCUGCUCAUUGAGAGCCCCCAGGAAAACUGAAGAUCACUAAGAGGAGAAUUACUGCCAACACUGACCUUUCUUUUCACCAGAGACA
Long non-coding RNA from Malurus melanocephalus (red-backed fairy wren), 263 nucleotides. RefSeq lists it as uncharacterized. The record is from RefSeq and is a predicted model, not a curated record. The transcript has 3 exons. NCBI's taxonomy places the organism in Eukaryota, Metazoa, Chordata, Aves, Passeriformes, Maluridae.